AGUGAACGCUGGCGGUAGGCCUAACACAUGCAAGUCGAACGGAAGCACAGUAAGAGCUUGCUCUUACGGGUGGCGAGUGGCGGACGGGUGAGGAAUACAUCGGAAUCUACUUUUUCGUGGGGGAUAACGUAGGGAAACUUACGCUAAUACCUCAUACGACCUACGGGUGAAAGCAGGGGAUCUUCGGACCUUGCGCGAUUGAAUGAGCCGAUGUCGGAUUAGCUAGUUGGCGGGGUAAAGGCCCACCAAGGCAACGAUCCGUAGCUGGUCUGAGAGGAUGAUCAGCCACACUGGAACUGAGACACGGUCCAGACUCCUACGGGAGGCAGCAGUAGGGAAUCUUGGGCAAUGGGCGAAAGCCUGAUCCAGCCAUACCGCGUGGGUGAUGAAGGCCUUCGGGUUGUAAAGCCCUUUUAUUAGGAAAGAAAAGCUGCAGGAUAAACUCCGGCUGUUCUGACGGUACCUAAUGAAUAAGCACCGGCUAACUUCGUG
This 492-nucleotide ribosomal RNA is filed under the name uncultured bacterium. Its description in RNAcentral is "partial 16S ribosomal RNA". It matches the Rfam family "Bacterial small subunit ribosomal RNA", at positions 29 to 507 of the family's 1533-position model. The record is from RNAcentral.